Molecule: ribosomal RNA, 1465 nt
Filed under: human gut metagenome
Description: bacterial LSU rRNA
Rfam family: Bacterial large subunit ribosomal RNA
Source: RNAcentral
GAACCCCGGGAGGGGAGUGAAAGAGAACCUGAAACCGUAUGUCUACAAGCAGUCGGAGCGAAAGCGACGGCGUGCCUAUUGAAGAAUGAACCAACGAGUUACGUGCACUAGCGAGGUUAAGUGGAAGACACGGAGCCGAAGCGAAAGCGAGUCUUAAGAGGGCGAAUAGUUAGUGUACGUAGACCCGAAACCGCAGUGAUCUACCCAUGUCCAGGUUGAAGCGCAGGUAAAAUUGCGUGGAGGACCGAACCUGUGAGCGUUGAAAAGCUUUAGGAUGAGAUGUGGGUAGAGGUGAAAUUCCAAUCGAACGCGGAGAUAGCUGGUUCUCCCCGAAAUAGCUUUAGGGCUAGCCUCAAGUAGUAAGUAUAGGCGGUAGAGCACUGAUCGGGCUAGGGGCCAUAAAGGUUACCGAACCCUGUCAAACUCCGAAUGGUUAUACUGUAGAGCUUGGGAGUCAGACUACGAGUGAUAAGAUCCGUGGUCAAAAGGGAAACAGCCCAGACCACCAGCUAAGGUCCCCAAUGUCGUACUAAGUGGAAAAGGAUGUGGGGUCUCUAAAACAACCAGGAUGUUGGCUUAGAAGCAGCCACCAUUUAAAGAGUGCGUAAUAGCUCACUGGUCGAGAGACCCUGCGCCGAAGAUUACCGGGGCUAAAGUACGAAACCGAAGCUGUGGCUACGACGUAAGUCGUGGGGUAGGGGAGCGUUCUGUGAGGGCUGAAGUCGUUCUGUAAGGAACGGUGGACUUCACAGAAGUGAGAAUGUUGGUAUGAGUAGCGAAAAGAAUGGUGAGAAUCCAUUCCACCGAAAGCAUAAGGAUUCCUGGGCAACGAUCGUCGUCCCAGGGUAAGUCGGGACCUAAUCCGAGGCAUGGAGCGUAGGAGAUGGACAACUGGCAGAUAUUCCAGUACCGGUAAUGAUUGUUUGAGCGAUGGAGUGACACAGGAGGGCAGGCAGGCAGGAGAUUGGUUGUUCCUGUACAAGCGUGUAGGAUGGGACGUAGGCAAAUCCGCGUCCUGUGAGUCUGAGGCGUGAUGUGGAGGUUCCGGAAACGGAACCGAAGCUGCUGACCCCACACUGUCGAGAAAAGCUUCUAGUUAGAGAAUUACCGCCCGUACCGUAAACCGACACAGGUAUGCGGGGAGAGAAUCCUAAGGUGCGCGGGAGAACCCUCGUUAAGGAACUCGGCAAAAUGUACCCGUAACUUCGGGAUAAGGGUAGCCGCUGUUGUGAAGUCUGUACAGAUGGAGCAUGAGGCGGUCGCAGAGAAGAGGCCCAAGCGACUGUUUACCACAAACACAGGUGCCUGCUAAAGAGAAAUCUGACGUAUAGGUGCUGACACCUGCCCAGUGCCGGAAGGUUAAGGAAGGAUGUCCGGAGCAAUCCAAAGCAUUCGACCGAAGCCCCGGUGAACGGCGGCCGUAACUAUAACGGUCCUAAGGUAGCGAAAUUCCUUGUCGGGUAAG